GGGGUAGUAGCUCAGUUGGUUAGAGCACUCGCUUGUCACGCGAGAGGUCGCGGGUUCGAGUCCCGUCUACCCCG
This 74-nucleotide transfer RNA is filed under the name candidate division WWE3 bacterium RIFCSPLOWO2_01_FULL_42_11. RNAcentral describes it as "tRNA-Asp". It matches the Rfam family "tRNA". From Rfam's summary of the family: Transfer RNA (tRNA) molecules are approximately 80 nucleotides in length. Their secondary structure includes four short double-helical elements and three loops (D, anti-codon, and T loops). The record is from RNAcentral. Lineage: Bacteria; candidate division WWE3.